Molecule: transfer RNA, 68 nt
Filed under: Marmota monax (woodchuck)
Lineage: Eukaryota; Metazoa; Chordata; Mammalia; Rodentia; Sciuridae
Description: tRNA.Met
Source: RNAcentral
GGAUAUAGCUCAGUUGGUAGAGCACUUGCGUCAUAUGUACAAAGCCCUGGGUUCAAUCCCCAGCACCA